RNAcentral lists this ribosomal RNA (460 nucleotides) under uncultured bacterium. Its description in RNAcentral is "partial 16S ribosomal RNA". It matches the Rfam family "Bacterial small subunit ribosomal RNA", at positions 338 to 795 of the family's 1533-position model. The record is from RNAcentral.
CCUACGGGAGGCAGCAGUGAGGAAUAUUGGUCAAUGGACGAGAGUCUGAACCAGCGAAGCCGCGUGAAGGAUGAAGGCUCUCUGGAUUGUAAACUUCUUUUAUAUGGGAGUAAAAUGUUCCACGUGUGGGAUUUUGUAUGUACCAUUUGAAUAAGGCUCGGCUAACUCCGUGCCAGCAGCCGCGGUAAUACGGAGGAUCCGAGCGUUAUCCGGAUUUAUUGGGUUUAAAGGGAGCGUAGGUGGAUUGUUAAGUUAGUUGUGAAAGUUUGCGGCGCAACCGUAAAAUUGCAGUUGAAACGGGCAGGCUUGAGUACAGGAGAGGUAGGCGGAAUUCGUGGUGUAGCGGUGAAAUGCUUAGAUAUCACGAAGAACUCCGAUGGCGAAGGCAGUUCACUGGACGGCAACUGACACUGAGGCUCGAAAGUGUGGGGAGCAAACAGGAUUAGAUACCCCAGUAGUC